This 1441-nucleotide ribosomal RNA is filed under the name Calothrix sp. PCC 7103. RNAcentral's name for it is "16S ribosomal RNA". It matches the Rfam family "Bacterial small subunit ribosomal RNA". The record is from RNAcentral. Lineage: Bacteria; Bacillati; Cyanobacteriota; Cyanophyceae; Nostocales; Calotrichaceae.
AACACAUGCAAAGUCGAACGGUACCUUCGGGUAUAGUGGCGGACGGGUGAGUAACGCGUGAGAAUCUGUCUUCAGGUCGGGGACAACAGUUAGAAAUGACUGCUAAUACCGGAUGUGCCGAAAGGUGAAAGAUUUAUUGCCUGAAAUUGAGCUCGCGUCAGAUUAGCUAGUAGGUGGUGUAAGAGACUACCUAGGCAUCGAUCUGUAGCUGGUCUGAGAGGACGAUCAGCCACACUGGAACUGAGACACGGUCCAGACUCCUAUGGGAGGCAGCAGUGGGGAAUUUUCCGCAAUGGGCGAAAGCCUGACGGAGCAAUACCGCGUGAGGGACGAAGGCUUUUGGGUCGUAAACCUCUUUUCUCAAGGAAGAUAAUGACGGUACUUGAGGAAUAAGCAUCGGCUAACUCUGUGCCAGCAGCCGCGGUAAUACAGAGGAUGCAAGCGUUAUCCGGAAUGAUUGGGCGUAAAGCGUCCGCAGGUGGUUUUGUAAGUCUGCUGUUAAAGCGUGUGGCUCAACCACAUACAGGCAGUGGAAACUAUAAGACUAGAGUAUGUUAGGGGUAGAGGGAAUUCCCAGUGUAGCGGUGAAAUGCGUAGAGAUUGGGAAGAACACGCGGUGGCGAAAGCGCUCUGUCUAGGACAAUACUGACACUGAGGGACGAAAGCUAGGGGAGCGAAUGGGAUUAGAUACCCCAGUAGUCCUAGCCGUAAACGAUGGAUACUAGGCGUUGCCCGUAUCGACCCGGGCAUUGUCGUACGCUAACGCGUUAAGUAUCCCGCCUGGGGAGUACGCACGCAAGUGUGAAACUCAAAGGAAUUGACGGGGGCCCGCACAAGCGGUGGAGUAUGUGGUUUAAUUCGAUGCAACGCGAAGAACCUUACCAGGACUUGACAUGUCGCGAACCCUGCUGAAAGGUGGGGGUGCCUUCGGGAGCGCGAACACAGGUGGUGCAUGGCUGUCGUCAGCUCGUGUCGUGAGAUGUUGGGUUAAGUCCCGCAACGAGCGCAACCCUCGUUUUUAGUUGCCAUCAUUAAGUUGGGCACUCUAGAGAGACUGCCGGUGACAAACCGGAGGAAGGUGGGGAGGACGUCAAGUCAGCAUGCCCCUUACGUCCUGGGCUACACACGUACUACAAUGCUACGAACAAAGGGCAGCUAGUUAGCAAUAACAUGCAAAUCUCAGAAAUCGUAGCUCAGUUCAGAUUGAAGGCUGCAACUCGCCUUCAUGAAGUCGGAAUCGCUAGUAAUUGCAGGCCAGCAUACUGCAGUGAAUUCGUUCCCGGGCCUUGUACACACCGCCCGUCACACCAUGGAAGCUGGUCACGCCCGAAGUAGUUAUCCUAACAGUUCGCUGGGGGAGACUCCGAAGGUAGGGCUGGUGACUGGGGUGAAGUCGUAACAAGGUAGCCGUACCGGAAGGUGUGGCUGGAUCACCUCCUUU